Molecule: ribosomal RNA, 547 nt
Filed under: uncultured Hydrogenophaga sp.
Lineage: Bacteria; Pseudomonadati; Pseudomonadota; Betaproteobacteria; Burkholderiales; Comamonadaceae
Description: bacterial SSU rRNA
Rfam family: Bacterial small subunit ribosomal RNA
Source: RNAcentral
UUUGGCAUGGGCGCAAGCCUGAUCCANCCAUGCCGCGUGCNNGAAGAAGGCCUUCGGGUUGUAAACUGCUUUUGUACGGAACGAAACGGUCUGGGUUAAUACCUNGGGCUAAUGACGGUACCGUAAGAAUAAGCACCGGCUAACUACGUGCCAGCAGCCGCGGUAAUACGUAGGGUGCAAGCGUUAAUCGGAAUUACUGGGCGUAAAGCGUGCGCAGGCGGUNNUGUAAGACAGUCGUGAAAUCCCCGGGCUCAACCUGGGAAUUGCGAUUGUGACUGCAUCGCUGGAGUGCGGCAGAGGGGGAUGGAAUUCCGCGUGUAGCAGUGAAAUGCGUAGAUAUGCGGAGGAACACCGAUGGCGAAGGCAAUCCCCUGGGCCUGCACUGACGCUCAUGCACGAAAGCGUGGGGAGCAAACAGGAUUAGAUACCCUGGUAGUCCACGCCCUAAACGAUGUCAACUGGUUGUUGGGUCUCUUCUGACUCAGUAACNAAGCUAACGCGUGAAGUUGACCGCCUGGGGAGUUACGGCCGCAAGGUUGAAACUCAA